Long non-coding RNA from Brassica oleracea var. oleracea, 885 nucleotides. RefSeq lists it as uncharacterized. The record is from RefSeq and is a predicted model, not a curated record. NCBI's taxonomy places the organism in Eukaryota, Viridiplantae, Streptophyta, Magnoliopsida, Brassicales, Brassicaceae. The transcript has 3 exons.
GAUAUUUUGAUUUGUGAAAAAGGCCAGCCCAAUUGAAAGGAAAGCAGCAUAUUCUUCACGGUGUUCGUUCAUCGUCGUCUUCUAUCUAUACUUCCUCAUCUAGAGUUUAUCAUCAGAAGAAUCCAUCGCCAGCCAUUAAUGGAGUUUGAGGAGGUUGUGUGAAACGAUUCUUCGUGAUGAACAGCUGGGUCGUUCGCGUCGGUUCGUCUGAGAUUCUUCUCCUCCAAACGUUAUGAGAUUCAUCAAUUCAUCUCCAUUAAGAACUAUCUUUACUCCUUCAACCCCUGAAAUUUAAUCCUCACAAUUCCUAAAACCACUAAAACUUAUUUUAUCGACGAUGUAUUGUGUUCAGCUCUCUAAUUUUGUUUUCAGUGACAGGUGAGUUUCCGUUAUUGAUUUGGCGACGGAACUAGAGAAUAUAGAGAUUAAAUUCUUCUUCUCGGUUUGAAAACUUGAAUCUGAUGUCUUGGAGGUACCGGUUAAAGAAACGAAGAUGUGAAAGUGAUUGUAGCGGGUGAUGACGAUUGGUUGCCUCAGUCGCCAAAGGUUGUAUUCGAUAAAAGCAAAGAGUUAGGUGAGGAGUCUACCAUUUAAAGCCAGGUUUGAGGUGGAAAAAAGAUGGAGCUCAUGUCAUUCUCAAAAACUGUAGUAGAUGUGAUGCAGGAAGCCAAGGUUUCUGCUAGCAAAGAAGCUGAAGUAUCUCAAAACAUUCUUUGAGGAAGCUGCUUCUCAGGCACCACCAGGCCAAGAUUGUCAUAAUAUUUCCAGUAGAGUUUUGGAUCCCCUAUGCAUGGUUCAUACCAUUUAUAUUAUAUUCGUGUCAGAGUUGAACAACGAAUUAUAAACCACCUAACAUAGCAAAUAUUUAUUUUUUAUGCUCUUUCA